UCCGUCAAUUCAUUUGAGUUUUAACCUUGCGGCCGUACUCCCCAGGCGGGACACUUAUUGCGUUAGCUACGGCACAGAGGGGGUCGAUACCCCCUACACCUAGUGUCCAUCGUUUACGGCGUGGACUACCCGGGUAUCUAAUCCCGUUCGCUCCCCUAGCUUUCGUCCCUGAGCGUCAGAAAAGACCCAGUGAGCCGCUUUCGCCACCGGUGUUCCUGAUGAUAUCAACGCAUUUCACCGCUCCACCAUCAGUUCCGCUCACCUCUGUCUCUCUCGAGCCAAGUAGUUUUGAAUGCAGUUCCUCGGUUAGGCCGAGGUAUUUCACACCCAACUUUCUUGGCCGCCUACGGACUCUUUAAGCCCAGUAAAUCCGAAUAACGUUCGGGUGGUACGUCUUACC
RNAcentral lists this unclassified non-coding RNA (400 nucleotides) under uncultured fungus. RNAcentral's name for it is "sequence contains ITS1". Lineage: Eukaryota; Fungi. The record is from RNAcentral.